CUCUGGGAGCAAGGACACCCCGGUAACAAUGGGAACUCACUAUGUUGCCCAGGCUGGUCUCAAACUCCUGGGCUCAAGUGAUCUGCCCACCUCUGCCUCCACCUCCCAAAGUGCUGGGAUUACAGGCCUGUGCCACUGUGCCUGGCCUGAGAUUUUUUAAAUGAUGUUUUCUUUAAUUCCCCUCCUGCUAAUACUCUUCUGAUUUUCCCAGUAGCAUCAGCACUUUUUUCAGAAUCAAUGCUGUGUCCUUUACUUUCCCUAUUCUCUCCAGCUCACCAUGACAUUUCUUUACUUUGCUGCAUAAGAAAACAAGUUGGAGAAACUAAGAAGUUUCAGAGUAUGCUUACUUCAGCCUUUCUCUGCCUAUAAAGUCAACCUCCUCUGCUCAGCUUUUCAGACCACUUCUCCCACUUCUAGAAUCACAAAUAAAACUAAAUCUAUGCUUA
Long non-coding RNA from Gorilla gorilla gorilla (western lowland gorilla), 446 nucleotides. RefSeq lists it as uncharacterized. The transcript has 2 exons. NCBI's taxonomy places the organism in Eukaryota, Metazoa, Chordata, Mammalia, Primates, Hominidae. The record is from RefSeq and is a predicted model, not a curated record.